UGCGGAAGGAUCAUUGUYGA
This 20-nucleotide ribosomal RNA is filed under the name Plantago media. RNAcentral describes it as "partial 18S ribosomal RNA". Lineage: Eukaryota; Viridiplantae; Streptophyta; Magnoliopsida; Lamiales; Plantaginaceae. The record is from RNAcentral.